GACGAACGCUGGCGGCGUGCUUAACACAUGCAAGUCGAACGGAAAGGCCCUGCUAUUGUGGGGUGCUCGAGUGGCGAACGGGUGAGUAACACGUGAGUAACCUGCCCUUGACCUUGGGAUAACUUCAGGAAACUGGGGCUAAUACCGGAUAGGAGCUCCUGCUGCAUGGUGGGGGUUGGAAAGUUUCGGCGGUUAGGGAUGGACUCGCGGCGUAUCAGCUUGUUGGUGGGGUAGUGGCUUACCAAGGCGUUGACGGGUAGCCGGCCUGAGAGGGUGACCGGCCACAUUGGAACUGAGAUACGGCCCGGACUCCUACGGGAGGCAGCAGUGUGGAAUAUUGCACAAUGGGCGGAAGCCUGAUGCAGCAACGCCGCGUGCGGGAUGACGGCCUUCGGGUUGUAAACCGCUUUCGCCUGUGACGAAGCGUGAGUGACGGUAAUGGGUAAAGAAGCACCGGCUAACUACGUG
This 468-nucleotide ribosomal RNA is filed under the name uncultured bacterium. RNAcentral's name for it is "partial 16S ribosomal RNA". It matches the Rfam family "Bacterial small subunit ribosomal RNA", at positions 28 to 507 of the family's 1533-position model. The record is from RNAcentral.